AUGUGUCUCUUUGUGUGUGUGUGUGAUGUGUGUGUGUGAUGUGUGUAUGUGUGUGUGAUGUGUGUGUGAUGUGUGUGUCUGUCUGUCUGAUGUGUGUGUGUUUGUGUGGGUGUGUUUGAUGUGUGUGUGCUGUGUGUGUGUGUAUGUGAUAUGUGUGUAUACGAUAUGAUAUAUGUGUGCGUGUGAUAUGUGUGUGUGUGCGUGUGUGUGAUGUGUGUGUAUGUGUGUGUGUGUGACGUGUGUGUGUAUUUGAUGUGUGUGAUGUGUAUGUGUGUGAUGUGUGUGAUGUUGUGUGUGUGUUUGAUGUGUGCGUGUUGAUGUGAUGCGUGUCUCUUUCUCUGUUCGUGUUUGUGUGUGUGUGUGUGUGUAAUGUGUGUAUGUAAUAUGUGCGAUGUGAUGCGUGUCUCUGUCUCUGUGAGUGUGAUGUGUGUGUGUGUUUCUCUAUGUGUGUGUGUGUGAUGUGUGUGUGAUGUGUGUGUGUGUGUGUAAUGUGUGUGUGAUGUGUGUGUGUGUUUGAUGUGUGUGAUAUGUAAUGUGUGUGUGUGAUGUGUGUGUGUAUGUGUGAUACGUGUGUGUGUGUGUG
RNAcentral lists this long non-coding RNA (583 nucleotides) under Lathyrus oleraceus (garden pea). RNAcentral describes it as "Pisum sativum (pea) long non-coding RNA (PSAT_LNC040625)". The record is from RNAcentral. Lineage: Eukaryota; Viridiplantae; Streptophyta; Magnoliopsida; Fabales; Fabaceae.